CGCGUAGGCGGUUUGAUCAGUUAGGUGUGAAAUUCCUGGGCUUAACCUGGGGCUGCACUUAAUACGGUCAGGCUAGAGUGUGAAAGAGGGUCGUGGAAUUCCCAGUGUAGAGGUGAAAUUCGUAGAUAUUGGGAAGAACACCGGUGGCGAAGGCGGCGACCUGGUUCAUUACUGACGCUGAGGCGCGAAAGCGUGGGGAGCAAACA
This 206-nucleotide ribosomal RNA is filed under the name uncultured bacterium. RNAcentral's name for it is "partial 16S ribosomal RNA". It matches the Rfam family "Bacterial small subunit ribosomal RNA", at positions 568 to 774 of the family's 1533-position model. The record is from RNAcentral.